This 463-nucleotide ribosomal RNA is filed under the name uncultured bacterium. RNAcentral describes it as "partial 16S ribosomal RNA". It matches the Rfam family "Bacterial small subunit ribosomal RNA", at positions 28 to 507 of the family's 1533-position model. The record is from RNAcentral.
GAUGAACGCUGGCGGAAUGCUUAACACAUGCAAGUCGAAGGCGAAGCCGUUCUUGCACAGCCUAGCCAAGGCGGACGGGGGAGUAACGCGUAAGGAACUUCCCCUGCUGUCCGUUAUAACAGACUCAAACAACUGAUAAGACCUGGUAAAGGCAGCCGGACUCAUGUCGAGCCUGAUGGAAAGGGAUGCUGCGGGAGAUUCUAGCGUCCUAUUAGCUUGUUGUUGGGGUGAGGGUCCACCAAGGCGAUGAUAGGUGGCCGGCCGGAGAGGGUGGACGGCCACAAGGGGUGUGAGAUGCGGCAGUUACUCCUACGGGAGAGAGGAGUGGAGAAUAGUGGAAAAUGGGGGCAACGGUGAUCGAGCAAUUCUGUGUGGAAGAUGAAGGUUUUCGGAUUGUAAAGUGCUUUCAGCAGAGAAGAAAAAAAUGACGGUACCUGCAGAAGAAGCACCGGCUAACUACGUG